This is a long non-coding RNA of Nomascus leucogenys (northern white-cheeked gibbon), 914 nucleotides long. RefSeq lists it as uncharacterized. NCBI's taxonomy places the organism in Eukaryota, Metazoa, Chordata, Mammalia, Primates, Hylobatidae. The record is from RefSeq and is a predicted model, not a curated record.
CUUCGCGCGCGCGCAGCCCUGCAGCGCAGCUUUGGCGGCGCCAGCAGCGGAGCCAACGCACCCGAGUUUGUGCUUGAGGCCACCCUGAGGAUCGGGACAGCUGUUCCUUUGGGCUGCAGAAACUCCGCUGAGCAGAACUUGCCGCCAGAAUGCUCCUCCUGUUGCUGAGUAUCAUCGUCCUCCACGUCGCGGUGCUGGUGCUGCUGUUCGUCUCCACGAUCGUCAGCCAAUGGAUCGUGGGCAAUGGACACGCAACUGAUCUCUGGCAGAACUGUAGCACCUCUUCCUCAGGAAAUGUCCACCACUGUUUCUCAUCAUCGCCAAAAGGUCCAGUCACAUCUUCUAUGCCUAUCUCAGCUGCUGACAUGUGACUCAGCUACUCCCAUUUUCCUUGGAAAAGUAGGAGCUGGAAAGGACCUUAGAGGUCAUUCACAUCAACCAUCUCAUUUCACUGAUGAGGAAACUGAGACUUGGACCAGUGGAAGUCAGCUGCCAUGUUGUGAGGACACUCAAGCAAUCCUAUGGAGAGGCCCACGUGAUGAGCAACUGAAGCCUCCUGCCAACAGCCACGUGAGGGCACCAUCAUGGAAGCAGAUCCUCCAACUCCACCCAAGCCUUCAGAUGAAUAUAGCCCUGACCGACAUCUUCACUACAAUCUCAUGAGAGAAACCGAGCCAGCACUACCUAGCUAAGAUGCUGCCAAGUUCCUGACCCAUAGAAACUGUGAGAUAAUAAAUGCUUGUUGUGUUAAGCCACUAAGUUUUGCAGAAAUUUGUUACUCAGCAAUAACUAACACGAGAGUUAGCUGAAGGUCACAUUCUUGUUGAGUAGUGGAAAGGGUUUUGUUAACCUUUUACCCACUGUGGUUCACUUGAUAAAUGAUAGAUAAAUAAAGAAUGAAAAUGAGCACAAAA